RNAcentral lists this ribosomal RNA (127 nucleotides) under Neolamprologus brevis. RNAcentral's name for it is "partial 5.8S ribosomal RNA". The stretch from base 16 to 127 matches the Rfam family "5.8S ribosomal RNA", at positions 1 to 113 of the family's 154-position model. Rfam says of the family: 5.8S ribosomal RNA (5.8S rRNA) is a component of the large subunit of the eukaryotic ribosome. It is transcribed by RNA polymerase I as part of the 45S precursor that also contains 18S and 28S rRNA. Functionally, it is thought that 5.8S rRNA may be involved in ribosome translocation. RNAcentral also lists the same sequence under 1 other name. Lineage: Eukaryota; Metazoa; Chordata; Actinopteri; Cichliformes; Cichlidae. The record is from RNAcentral.
AAACAAAAACAAUACGACUCUUAGCGGUGGAUCACUCGGCUCGUGCGUCGAUGAAGAACGCAGCUAGCUGCGAGAACUAAUGUGAAUUGCAGGACACAUUGAUCAUCGACACUUCGAACGCACCUUG